AGGAGCUAAUUUGUGUCUUCUGAUUCCAAGCCUGGAGUUCUUCCCUGGACAGCAGCUUGCGUCUCGUGAGAGUGUGAGGAGGGAGGUCGUCCCUCGGUUGUGGUGCUCUCCGUGCAUCCCAAGGCUCAAGAGGACGGUAACGAUGGCCUCAUCUCAUCCCCUCACUGGGGCAGGAAUCCUUGUCAGGCACCUCGGACCAAUUGCCAGUCACCUCCACCUGCAUACUUGUUGUGACGGGGAGCUCACUCCUCGAAAGGUAGCCCCUUCUCUCCCUGGUUCGCUCUUGUGGAGAAAAAGUUCCUCUUUGGGUUGAGUUGAAGUCUGCAAUCGUUGGACACACAUCACACACGUUCCCGCUGUUCUCCGGGAUUUAAGGACAGCUUCAUGUCCCAGGUCAUCUUUGUUCCCACACUCCCUCCUCCUCCACCCGCCCCCAGAGUACCUGUCUCUGAUAUCCCUAUGAACUUUGCACAGGAUCAUUUUUAGAUUCUUCGUUCCCUGGAGUUCCACCCACUCCAGCUGGCCAGUGUCCCCCCUGCAAAAGAGCGGUGCCCGGAACAAACACAGCCAACCCCUGCGGAUGUGACCCGAGCGGGGCAAAGUGCGGGACAGGUUUCACCUCCUAUCAUCUACACUCUGUGACUCUAUUAGUGCAGCGCAAAAACAGUUGCAUCAAAUUUGCUCACUUGAAGCUUGUAUUUUAAGCAAACAUCCUGCAAUCUUUCUCACCUAAACUACAUCUGUGUCUCGUGUUUGUAAUUAGUUUAAAUGGACCCAAGUUAAGAAAUAUCAUGUAGCCAUCACCUUAGAAGGCAAGCUUUCAUGGGCUCUUCAUUAUAUGACCCUCCGUCCCUGGUUCAGGGACCGUUGUUAUGAUUUCUCUGAUACUUGCUUUCUUCCUGUGCUUAGUUUACUAUGUAUGCAUAAUGUUUAGUUUUGCCUGUUUGGGAACUAUAUAUAAAUGGGAUCAUGCUGUAUUGUAUUGCUUUGUGGUUUGCUUUUCCUCAAAACUAUUUGAGAUCCAUCUAUGUUGAAUAUGUAAGGGUAGUUUGUUCGUUAUUGUUGCUGUAUUCCACUGUAUGAAUAUUUAAAAAUUUAUUUAUCCUA
Herpailurus yagouaroundi (jaguarundi) is the source of this 1107-nucleotide long non-coding RNA. RefSeq lists it as uncharacterized. NCBI's taxonomy places the organism in Eukaryota, Metazoa, Chordata, Mammalia, Carnivora, Felidae. The transcript has 2 exons. The record is from RefSeq and is a predicted model, not a curated record.